GCAAACCUGACCCAGUUUCAUAAAUACAUAGGACACCUAAUCAAUCACAUGGCACAAAAUGAAUAACUUAUGACACGUUAUGGUUCAUUAUUAUAUAGGAAAAGGCUCAUUUCUAUCUCACUUGUCAACAAAUCAUAUUUCACUCAAAUGCUGACACCAAGUACUAGUAGUUACAUCAUUCUUUCCGGUUUAAAGAGCAUGUGGCCUGAUCUGCUAUUGUGUCACCAGAGUGGAGCAAUUCCCUGAUACCACAAGAGAGAGAGAGAGAGAGAGAGAGAGAGAUGCACUUGAUUGGAAAAGAACACUUAAAACCAAUAAAUCCCAAGCUUUAGCCAUCGGCUCCCCUAACCCUAUCAACACAUAGGGUACCUAUUUCAUGUCCAACCAUAUAUAAGAUUACUAUAAGCUUACAAAGUUACAAUUGCCUCUCCGCCCUAUAGACAGACAUGAAAAGCAGUACCAGAAAAAUAGAAGAGCUUCCGAAUGUCGGCUUUUAAGACCUUACCAAAAAGCAGUACCAUCUGCCAUAUAAUUUUGAUGCUUUAUGAUUAUAUUGGGAACAUAAUUUACACCUUAUUAACCUAACGUUAUUUGCACCUAAGGUAAGUUCUCAGACAAAUUUAAU
Rhododendron vialii is the source of this 625-nucleotide long non-coding RNA. RefSeq lists it as uncharacterized. The transcript has 2 exons. Lineage: Eukaryota; Viridiplantae; Streptophyta; Magnoliopsida; Ericales; Ericaceae. The record is from RefSeq and is a predicted model, not a curated record.